CCUACGGGGGGCUGCAGUGGGGAAUAUUGGACAAUGGGCGAAAGCCUGAUCCAGCCAUGCCGCGUGUGUGAAGAAGGCCUUCGGGUUGUAAAGCACUUUCAGUGGGGAAGAAAGCCUUGGGGCUAAUACCCUCGAGGAAGGACAUCACCCACAGAAGAAGCACCGGCUAACUCCGUGCCAGCAGCCGCGGUAAUACGGAGGGUGCGAGCGUUAAUCGGAAUUACUGGGCGUAAAGCGCGCGUAGGCGGUCUGAUAAGCCGGUUGGGAAAGCCCCGGGCUCAACCUGGGAACGGCAUCCGGAACUGUCAGGCUAGAGUGCAGGAGAGGAAGGUAGAAUUCCCGGUGUAGCAGUGAAAUGCGUAGAGAUCGGGAGGAAUACCAGUGGCGAAGGCGGCCUUCUGGACUGACACUGACGCUGAGGUGCGAAAGCGUGGGUAGCAAACAGGAUUAGAUACCCUGGUAGUC
Molecule: ribosomal RNA, 465 nt
Filed under: Vreelandella stevensii
Lineage: Bacteria; Pseudomonadati; Pseudomonadota; Gammaproteobacteria; Oceanospirillales; Halomonadaceae
Description: partial 16S ribosomal RNA
Rfam family: Bacterial small subunit ribosomal RNA
Source: RNAcentral